This 344-nucleotide ribosomal RNA is filed under the name Nostoc sp. 3335mG. RNAcentral describes it as "bacterial LSU rRNA". It matches the Rfam family "Bacterial large subunit ribosomal RNA", at positions 1 to 269 of the family's 2925-position model. The record is from RNAcentral. Lineage: Bacteria; Bacillati; Cyanobacteriota; Cyanophyceae; Nostocales; Nostocaceae.
GUGGACUCUCAAGCGUGAGGUAAGGGCAAUUCGUGGAUGCCUUGGCAUGUACAGGCGAUGAAGGACGUGGCACGCUGCGAUAAGCGUCGGUGAGGUGUGAGCGACCUUUGACCCGACGAUUUCCGAAUGGGGAAACCCACCUAUCCGUUUAAUUAGCUGAGCCGCUGGGCGGCACGCUUCAUGCGUGUCGUCUCGGGGCGCAGGUAGUUAAAUGGACAAGGUAUCUCUUAACUGAAUACAUAGGUUUCGAGAAGCGAACCCGGCGAACUGAAACAUCUCAGUACCCGGAGGAAAAGACAUCAACCGAGAUUCCGUUAGUAGUGGCGAGCGAACGCGGACCAGGC